GGGGAAUUUUCCGCAAUGGGCGAAAACCUGACGGAGCAAUACCGCGUGAGGGAGGAAGGCUCUUGGGUUGUAAACCUCUUUUCUCAGGGAAUAAGAANCUGAAGGUACCUGAGGAAUCAGCAUCGGCUAACUCCGUGCCAGCAGCCGCGGUAAUANCGGAGGAUGCAAGCGUUAUCCGGAAUGAUUGGGCGUAAAGCGUCCGCAGGUGGUUUAUCAAGUCUGCUGUCAAAGAGUUUGGCUCAACCAAAUAAAGGCAGUGGAAACUGACAGACUGGAGUGCGGUAAGGGCAGAGGGAAUUCCUGGUGUAGCGGUGAAAUGCGUAGAGAUCAGGAAGAACACCGGUGGCGAAAGCGCUCUGCUGGGCCGUAACUGACACUGAGGGACGAAAGCUAGGGGAGCGAAUGGGAUUAGAUACCCCAGUAGUC
Molecule: ribosomal RNA, 426 nt
Filed under: uncultured cyanobacterium
Lineage: Bacteria; Bacillati; Cyanobacteriota
Description: bacterial SSU rRNA
Rfam family: Bacterial small subunit ribosomal RNA
Source: RNAcentral